GAUCCUGGCUCAGGAUGAACGCUGGCGGCGUGCUUAACACAUGCAAGUCGAACGAUGACCUCCAGCUUGCUGGGGUGAUUAGUGGCGAACGGGUGAGUAACACGUGAGUAACCUGCCCUUAACUCUGGGAUAAGCCUGGGAAACUGGGUCUAAUACCGGAUAUGACUCCUCAUCGCAUGGUGGGGGGUGGAAAGCUUUUUGUGGUUUUGGAUGGACUCGCGGCCUAUCAGCUUGUUGGUGAGGUAAUGGCUCACCAAGGCGACGACGGGUAGCCGGCCUGAGAGGGUGACCGGCCACACUGGGACUGAGACACGGCCCAGACUCCUACGGGAGGCAGCAGUGGGGAAUAUUGCACAAUGGGCGAAAGCCUGAUGCAGCGACGCCGCGUGAGGGAUGACGGCCUUCGGGUUGUAAACCUCUUUCAGUAGGGAAGAAGCGAAAGUGACGGUACCUGCAGAAGAAGCGCCGGCUAACUACGUGCCAGCAGCCGCGGUAAUACGUAGGGCGCAAGCGUUAUCCGGAAUUAUUGGGCGUAAAGAGCUCGUAGGCGGUUUGUCGCGUCUGCCGUGAAAGUCCGGGGCUCAACUCCGGAUCUGCGGUGGGUACGGGCAGACUAGAGUGAUGUAGGGGAGACUGGAAUUCCUGGUGUAGCGGUGAAAUGCGCAGAUAUCAGGAGGAACACCGAUGGCGAAGGCAGGUCUCUGGGCAUUAACUGACGCUGAGGAGCGAAAGCAUGGGGAGCGAACAGGAUUAGAUACCCUGGUAGUCCAUGCCGUAAACGUUGGGCACUAGGUGUGGGGGACAUUCCACGUUUUCCGCGCCGUAGCUAACGCAUUAAGUGCCCCGCCUGGGGAGUACGGCCGCAAGGCUAAAACUCAAAGGAAA
RNAcentral lists this ribosomal RNA (885 nucleotides) under Pristionchus pacificus. Its description in RNAcentral is "bacterial SSU rRNA". It matches the Rfam family "Bacterial small subunit ribosomal RNA", at positions 15 to 910 of the family's 1533-position model. The record is from RNAcentral. Lineage: Eukaryota; Metazoa; Nematoda; Chromadorea; Rhabditida; Neodiplogasteridae.